AUCCAACUGACGAGUCCCAAAUAUGACAAAACACGCGUCCUGGAU
Non-coding RNA from Schistosoma rodhaini, 45 nucleotides. NCBI's taxonomy places the organism in Eukaryota, Metazoa, Platyhelminthes, Trematoda, Strigeidida, Schistosomatidae. The record is from Rfam.